UUUUCUGUCUUUUUACUGUCUUUUGUGAUAUGUUCACAAACUUUUUUUUAAAAGCUGUGAACAUUUCCAAAUACUUUUGUCUUCCAAACCAUUGAUUGACCAUUGAAUUUUGAAACAAAACUAAAUUCUAAUUUUUAUAACUAACCUUUACUAUUAUAUAUUAAGAACUCAACAUAUUCUUGAGUUUGCUAAUGUUUAUCUUCUGUACAUCACAACUAAUUAAUUGCAUUUUCUAUACACAUUUUCAACAUAUAAAUUAAAUGUAAAGCAGUCUUGACUCUAGUCUUUGAAAUCAAAUAAACAAUUUUGUUAAUUAACAUGGAACAUACAAAAAUUGCUUUGGAUCAUGAAAAUCAUAGUUGUAAACAGGACCAACAUACUUCAAAAUAAAUGCCGAAAGUCAACCACUAUUUUUUAUGAAAUACAGGUAUAAAUAUUUUGUUAAAAAUCAAAUACAUAAACACAGCCUAAUGCCAAUGACAGUGGAAGACACUGGAUUCAUGAGUGUGUGCUCUCAUUACCUCUAGUCGCUGUGAACAUAACAAAACAGUCCAUUUUAUGUUUAUGUUCUGCAAAAAAAGGUUAAUCCAACUCUUAGGUCCAGUUACCAAGAGCUUGAAAUGUUCUGACCAGUUCUUGUGCUUCGCAAAGGUUCUUGGUGCACCAGGUUUGAUGAGAUGAUCAAUCACAUUUAAACUUCAAAAGGCUCAAAUUUUCCAUGGAUUCCCAGUCAUUCAGUUCAUUAAGGGACUUGAGCCAUUUGGUUGGAAGGCAAAGCUGCUUCUUCACCUUCGUUGGCGACGUGUCAGUCGACCUCGUUCAGGGUUUGAGCCCAGAAAAACUCUAAAAAAAAGAGAAUGGAUACUCAAGUUUAUCACAGAAACACUUCAUGUUAUAAACUUACUUUUUACAAAGCACUUCUAAAUUACAUUACAGCAGCACAUCACCUUGCUCAUCAGCGUCUCACCAAUUGCUAAUUGCUCUUUCACAAACAACAUUGAAUAAUUCUGAUGAAUUCUGACA
Long non-coding RNA from Poecilia latipinna (sailfin molly), 1023 nucleotides. RefSeq lists it as uncharacterized. NCBI's taxonomy places the organism in Eukaryota, Metazoa, Chordata, Actinopteri, Cyprinodontiformes, Poeciliidae. The transcript is spliced from 2 exons. The record is from RefSeq and is a predicted model, not a curated record.